This is a non-coding RNA of Paramuricea clavata, 539 nucleotides long. Lineage: Eukaryota; Metazoa; Cnidaria; Anthozoa; Malacalcyonacea; Plexauridae. The record is from the annotation of a GenBank genome assembly.
UGGGCAUGGACUGUCGUUUCGACCCACUCACAGUGACAAUAUGACGAGUUUCGUGGUGUACAGGAGAUAAUUUCAGUUUUGCUAUGGCAUCUUGGGAGAUAAAGUUUCUCCCUGACCCUGUGUCUAGAUAUGCCCACAAUGUCACGCCUUGUAUGUUCACAGGAAUUAUGGGUGGUAAUGUGGUAUCUGAGGGGGUAUACCCAGUUAGGAUGGGACCUUUCUUCCCGUCACACAGACUUGUAUGGUGUCUCCCUUUGCAUUUGAAACAACUCCCCCCAUGGCAAUUAUUCGCUCGAUGGCCAGAUUGACCACAAUUAUAGCACAGUUUAUUGUUCGUAAAGAACUUCCGGCGACUAUCUAAAUCCUUAAUAUCUUCACAACUGUCCGAGUAAUGCUCACCUCUGCAAAAGACACAUUUGGGGCUCUUCGGUUUUCCUCCACUAGCCUUUCCAGCAAACCAGUUCCGUUCUCUUCUCGAUGACUCUUCGCUAUGCUUCGAAUCGUUCGUCGUUUUAUUUCUAAGUAACCACUUCUGCAGG